AGUGAACGCUGGCGGUAGGCCUAACACAUGCAAGUCGAACGGCAGCACAGUAAGAGCUUGCUCUUACGGGUGGCGAGUGGCGGACGGGUGAGGAAUACAUCGGAAUCUACUUUUUCGUGGGGGAUAACGUAGGGAAACUUACGCUAAUACCGCAUACGACCUACGGGUGAAAGCAGGGGAUCUUCGGACCUUGCGCGAUUGAAUGAGCCGAUGUCGGAUUAGCUAGUUGGCGGGGUAAAGGCCCACCAAGGCGACGAUCCGUAGCUGGUCUGAGAGGAUGAUCAGCCACACUGGACCUGAGACACGGUCCAGACUCCUACGGGAGGCAGCAGUGGGGAAUAUUGGACAAUGGGCGCAAGCCUGAUCCGGCCAUACCGCGUGGGUGAAGAAGGCCUUCGGGUUGUAAAGCCCUUUUGUUGGGAAAGAAAAGCAGCAGGUUAAUACCCCGCUGUUCUGACGGUACCCAAAGAAUAAGCACCGGCUAACUUCGUG
Molecule: ribosomal RNA, 492 nt
Filed under: uncultured bacterium
Lineage: Bacteria
Description: partial 16S ribosomal RNA
Rfam family: Bacterial small subunit ribosomal RNA
Source: RNAcentral